AAUCAACGCUGGCGGCGUGCCUCAGACAUGCAAGUCGAACGCGAAAGUCCCCUUCGGGGGACAAGUAGAGUGGCGCACGGGUGAGUAACACGUAGGUAAUCUACCUUCGGAUGGGGAAUAACAACCGGAAACGGUUGCUAAUACCGCAUAAUGCAGCGGCACCUAAUGGUGACAGUUGUUAAAGCGGGGGAUCGAAAGACCUCGCGUCUGAAGAGGAGCCUGCGGCGGAUUAGCUAGNGGUAAGGUAAUGGCUUACCAAGGCGACGAUCCGUAGCCGGCCUGAGAGGGGCGGUCGGCCACACUGACACUGACAUACGGGU
RNAcentral lists this ribosomal RNA (320 nucleotides) under uncultured bacterium. Its description in RNAcentral is "bacterial SSU rRNA". It matches the Rfam family "Bacterial small subunit ribosomal RNA", at positions 32 to 331 of the family's 1533-position model. The record is from RNAcentral.